Molecule: ribosomal RNA, 160 nt
Filed under: Ceropegia saxatilis
Lineage: Eukaryota; Viridiplantae; Streptophyta; Magnoliopsida; Gentianales; Apocynaceae
Description: 5.8S ribosomal RNA
Rfam family: 5.8S ribosomal RNA
About the family: 5.8S ribosomal RNA (5.8S rRNA) is a component of the large subunit of the eukaryotic ribosome. It is transcribed by RNA polymerase I as part of the 45S precursor that also contains 18S and 28S rRNA. Functionally, it is thought that 5.8S rRNA may be involved in ribosome translocation.
Source: RNAcentral
CGACUCUCGACAACGGAUAUCUAGGCUCUCGCAUCGAUGAAGAACGUAGCAAAAUGCGAUACUUGGUGUGAAUUGCAGAAUCCCGUGAAUCAUCGAGUUUUUGAACGCAAGUUGCGCCCGAAGUCAUUAGGCCGAGGGCACGUCUGCCUGGGUGGCACGU